UACGUAGGGUGCGAGCGUUGUCCGGAAUUACUGGGCGUAAAGAGCUCGUAGGUGGUUUGUCGCGUUGUUCGUGAAAACUCACAACUCAAUUGUGGGCGUGCGGGCGAUACGGGCAGACUGGAGUACUGCAGGGGAGACUGGAAUUCCUGGUGUAGCGGUGAAAUGCGCAGAUAUCAGGAGGAACACCGGUGGCGAAGGCGGGUCUCUGGGCCGAUACUGACGCUGAGGUGCGAAAGCGUGGGGAGCAAACAGG
Molecule: ribosomal RNA, 253 nt
Filed under: uncultured bacterium
Lineage: Bacteria
Description: partial 16S ribosomal RNA
Rfam family: Bacterial small subunit ribosomal RNA
Source: RNAcentral